AGAACACUGAAUGGCCAAAUUUGCAAAGUUCUUACCCAACUUUACAAAUCCUGCUGGUGUAGAUAUACUACAAAGCAGAAGUGACAGGUUAAAUUUCAAGAUUAUUUUAUAUUUGUAUGCAUUCCCUCAACAAAUACUUACAAAUUAGGUCCUGCUGAGGGGAGGCUUGCCCUUUAGUGAGGCAAGGCAGGCUACAAAACAUUCAAAAACCAAAUGGUGUAAUCAAUGCCCUCAGAGGAGAGUGCAGGGAACUGUGGGAGCCCACAGAGACUUGAGGAGCCCUAAUACUUGCAUUUCUCCUUAUUCACAUAUGCUUCCCUGCUAAUGACCAGGUAAUCUGAGGCAAGUUUUCUCCCAGCUACACCCUGAAUUCUUUGAAAUAAACCCAAUACAGGUACUUGAGUGUAUUUCCUGAGUUGACCUCUGGGACGAUAGCUACUAGGCUGUGCCCUUAGUGCUACAUAGAUUACAUAAACUGGAGAGCUGCAAGAGUUAAGAAACUGAAUUCAGCUACCUCUUGGGGAGCUGAGUGACUAUUCUAAAGAGAGAUGAAGUGGAUAGAAAUUCCUGUAUUCAGAAUUAGUGAUCAGGGUUACAAAUCUGGAGCUGAGCUGUGAGUGUUAGGUUCCCUACCUAUAAAAUAGGGGUAACAGUCUUCACCCUACCUACUGCAGAGAUCUUUGUGGAUGUUGAGUGAAAUAAUUGGUGUGAAAGUAGUUUUCAAUGGUGUAAUUUAGGGCAUAUCAUUUCCUUGUUGAAAACCCUUCAGUGAGAAUAAUAUUACCUAAAAGGGGUUGUUUUUAGAUUCAGUGAAAAAGUAGGUGCCAAAAUAAGUGGACUUUACUGUUCCUACCCACUGGCCUGUCCUGCUAGCUCUACCUCCAAACCAUAUACUGAAUCUGAGUACUUCACUCCCUCUUCUCUACCACCUCCCAGGCCUACCCCUGCAGUAUUCCAACUGGUCCCUCCACUUGCAAUUUGCCCUUCUCCAACAUACAUUUUAAAAUAGCAGUUAAGGGUAAUAUUUCUUAAAAUCUUUCAAUACCUUCCCAAUGCAUUUAGAGCAAUAAUUAAGUUCUUUCCUAUGGUCUACAAAAUCCCACCUGUUAUAGUCCCUGACACAUUACUCUACCUUAUUCUUUUUCAAUGCUUGUAUUACCAUCGGAACUUCUUUUUUUUAUUUCUCGCCUAUAUACUUCUCUACAAUGUAAGCUUCACAAGGACAAAGACAAGCUGUGUCCCUGGAGCCUACCGAUGUCUGGUA
RNAcentral lists this long non-coding RNA (1264 nucleotides) under Homo sapiens (human). Its description in RNAcentral is "long non-coding RNA NONHSAT223969". The record is from RNAcentral. Lineage: Eukaryota; Metazoa; Chordata; Mammalia; Primates; Hominidae.